GAUGAACGCUGGCGGCGUGCUUAACACAUGCAAGUCGAACGAGAAGUCAAGACGGACGCCUUCCUGCGGAAGGCUUUAUUUCGAGUGGCGGCCGGGGGAGUAACUCGCUGGUAACCUGCCACAUCCAGGGGGAUAACAGUUUGAAACGACAGUUUAUACCGCAUCACACCACAGCACCGCAUGGUGCGGGGGUAAAAACUCUGGUGGUAUGAGAUGGACCCGCGUUCGAUUAGCCAGUUGGCGGGGUAACGGCCCACCACAGCGACGAUCGAUAGCCGAGCUGAGAGGAUGACCGGCCACAUUGGGACUGAGACACGGCCCAAACUCCUACGGGAGGCAGCAGUGGGGGAUAUUGCACAAUGGGGGAAACCCUGAAGCAGCGACGCCGCGUGAGUGAAGAAGUAUGUCGAUAUGUAAAGCUCUAGCAGCAGGGCAGAAAAUGACGGUACCUGAGUAAGAAGCCCCGGCUAACUACGUG
Molecule: ribosomal RNA, 478 nt
Filed under: uncultured bacterium
Lineage: Bacteria
Description: partial 16S ribosomal RNA
Rfam family: Bacterial small subunit ribosomal RNA
Source: RNAcentral